RNAcentral lists this ribosomal RNA (253 nucleotides) under uncultured bacterium. Its description in RNAcentral is "partial 16S ribosomal RNA". It matches the Rfam family "Bacterial small subunit ribosomal RNA", at positions 524 to 776 of the family's 1533-position model. The record is from RNAcentral.
UACGGAGGGAGCUAGCGUUGUUCGGAAUUACUGGGCGUAAAGCGCUCGUAGGCGGCUUUGUAAGUUAGAGGUGAAAGCCCGGAGCUCAACUCCGGAACUGCCUUUAAAACUGCAUCGCUUGAAUCCAGGAGAGGUGAGUGGAAUUCCGAGUGUAGAGGUGAAAUUCGUAGAUAUUCGGAAGAACACCAGUGGCGAAGGCGGCUCACUGGACUGGUAUUGACGCUGAGGUGCGAAAGCGUGGGGAGCAAACAGG